Molecule: unclassified non-coding RNA, 535 nt
Filed under: Hevea brasiliensis (rubber tree)
Lineage: Eukaryota; Viridiplantae; Streptophyta; Magnoliopsida; Malpighiales; Euphorbiaceae
Source: RNAcentral
CUCUGAUCUUCCCUUCGAAUUUGUCCCUCUCCCUUGGAGUGUAAGAAGCAGUAUACACAUCAGCUUCUCUUGCCCUCUCUGCUAAAAUGCGGCCAAUGGCCAAACAUGCUGGUAUGUCUGAACGGGACCUGAGCGCAGCUUUAAUGUCUUUAGAGUUAGUACCGGCAACUGCAACCUGCUUACUUGUUACCCUGUGGGUGAGUGAUGCUGAAACAAAGCGCUUUGAGAUAAACACAUCAAGCGUAAAUGGCUCCAUGUAUGCUUUGGUCCGUUGCUUAAAUGACAUAUGCUUGUUGGGAUUUUUUGACUUCUUUUCUUUCUGGUAAGUAUACGGCCUACUGUUGUCGUCAUCAAGGAAAUCUUCCACCCCAAAGAAGCUUCUAGGUGCACAAUAAACCUGUCCACUGUGGAAGCCUCUGAUGGGCACAUAAAAGCAAGGUCUAAGCUUGUCUCCUCCAUUUGUGAAAGGUCCUUUGUUCAAAACCUUGUCAAGUACUUGCUUCAACAUAUCUGCAAUUCCGCGAUUCUGACAGAG